AGGCUCCUGGGAGAAGCAGUGACGAGGCUGGGUGCCUGCAGGAAGACCCUCAGCUGGCUGCAUGUUCAGCCCUGCAGGGUUAGGUAAUUUUGUGCCCAGCAGAGCAGGGCGGUGCUCUGUCCUCUGGGAAAUACUGCCUUCCUGGAAUGUUCCCUCCAACCCAGAGUGCUGAGAAGGCUGGCAGGAUAGAGGCCAGAACAUGUCUGACGUCAGCGCCAGCCUGGACGGAGAGCUCGGAUCCCAGAGAAGGCUGAGCACAGGGAGGAGAGGGGCAUGGGCCUCUGCAUUUGAGCUGCUCUCGUCCUGAAGUUUGUGCCCUGGGCCCUGUGAGAACUCAGGGGCCAGCCUGUGACACCCCGGCCAGGCCAUGCGAGGGUGGCGCCGGGACGCCGCCCUCUGCGGCUCCUUUGGGGAGCACUGACCAGCACUCAGGGAUGGAUCCGUGCAGCGAGUUGUCGAGAGGAGAGAGUGGAGGAGGACUCCGCAGUAUCCCGGCUGAUGCAUAUUGAGUCAUCCAGAGGAGAGAGAGGGGGAGGACUCCGCAGUAUCCCGGCUGAUGCAUAAUUUGUUCUUCUUAUGCAUUUUACCACCAUUUUGGCUAGCAUUUGGUGCUUCAAGGAACAGCUGUUAGAAGCGAAAAUCAGAGAAAAAGGCAUUUGCGUUUCAAAGGCUUCGCUUUGUGGAUGACACAUCCCAGAGAUAGGAGGAACUCCUGGCAGCAGCCAUAGAUUUGGAAGGAUGCAUCCCCAUCAGGUAGCGGUGGAGGAAUCUCCAGGGAGGAGACAGAGAAGGGAGAGGACAGGAGGGAGAGGAGUAAGGGGUUUGGAUGCCUGUGGGUCCUCAGAGAGUGGCCUGAGAGCCAGACUUUCUCCCUUUCCCCUGAGAGCAACAUGGAGCUGGGGAAAGAGACCUCAGACACGCCACUCCCCUGCCUUCCUGAUGGCGACAGACACAGAGAGGCCUCAGGGCUGGGAGCCGGGAAGGUGGAGGAGCUGCCCAUGAGGCUGGUGCUUUGGCAGGGAAAGGGGCCCCCCAGGAGCUGCCACCUGCCCCAAAGGUGCACCUGGGAUGAAGAUGGGGGGGAGGCACCACAGCGACCUAGUUAUGGCGAGCAAGCUCUCACCAUACAGUAGAGGAGGAGACAGAAAUUAGUUCAGUUACAGAAAACAGAUACAUUGGUAGAAUUUACAUGUUAUAACAUAAUUCCAUUAAAAAGUUGGCAUACUCCUGAAAACCUACUUACUCUUCCCUUAAGAAUCAAGUAAUAUUAUGUUUAUUAGAAAUUAUUUGGAGAAAUCAAAAGAUUGGAAUUACAGUCUUAGCUUCACACUAAUUAUG
This 1338-nucleotide long non-coding RNA is filed under the name Homo sapiens (human). RNAcentral's name for it is "HSALNT0299854". Lineage: Eukaryota; Metazoa; Chordata; Mammalia; Primates; Hominidae. The record is from RNAcentral.